GGAGAAGGAGAAGGAGAGGGAGAGGGACAGGAAAACGGAGAGGGAGAGGGAAAGGGAAACGGAGAGGGAGAGGGAAAGGGAGAGGGAAAGGGAAGGAAAGGUAAAAGGAAAGGGACAGAGAAGGGAGAGGGAAAGGAGAAGGGAAGGAGAAUGGAAGGAAAGGGAAGGAAAAGGAACAGGAUCUCAGAAAUUAUUGAGGCAAUUAUGUGAGCGCAGUACAUGAGAAGUAAUCCCAGCUGCUGGGAGCUGGGGGGAAGAGAAAUCAUGGUGUGAUCCAAAGGGGCCCCAGAGAGCGCACGCCAGCAGCGGUGACCUGGUUUGCAGAUGGAUCCAACGCUCCUCUGCUUCCAAGCCCAACACACCGCCCUGCUCCUGGGUGUCAGCGCUGGCAUCGUGCACUAAUCUGUUUAUUUCUGUUUGCUUCCUUUCUUAUUUUUCCUGUCUUUUGAAUUAAAAGCUAAUCCUCCGUGCUGAUUCUCAUAAUUUCGAGCCAUGCAUUGAACACAGGAAUUCUUGAGCAGGUUUUUGCUCCCCUGGCAGCAUCACUUUCCCCAUUGCACAGGAAACCAAAGGCAGACAGCAGAGCAAGAAAACACAACACAGCUCCUGCAUCACGCCACCUCCUCGGGCUUCCAGCACAUCUCAACACAGAACUAGAGCAAAAGGGCAGAUUAUUUAAAGCCGUCACAUGUAGGCCAAUUUUCGCUGCAGUUCCUUUUGGCUCUGAUUUUGCAGGCCCCAGCGGAGUGGUGAAGUCAUGAAUAAAUGCAAGCAAACCGAGCUGAUCCACUCUCAUUUGAGCAGCGGAGUUUACUCGCCCCAUGCUGCUUCAGCUGGAACACCAGAAGCAUCCCUUCCGUUUGGCUUCGACCGGAGCUGAGUGACUGCCGCGCUUGUCAUCGUGUGGUCAAAACAGUGGCAGGAUGCAGGAUGCUGUGUGCAGGCAGCGUGCAGGCAGGAUCCGGCUUCGCUUUGCUCCUGCACAUCUCCUGACACCGCCACCGCUGUUUCCACCCACCGACCUCAAUCUAUUUAGACCAAUCCCAAUAGCAGGAUGCUCCAACCCACCCUGUCCAUCCAGCACAGAAAACUGCAGCGCCCCGCAAUUUCCAAAUGCUGGACCUACAUGGCCAGGUGCCCUUUAGCUCUCCGAGGAUGCACCCACACCUCCAUGGGCAGCCAACCCUGGCAUCCUUGAGCACAGAAAGCUCAUGCUACGUUUCUAUCCUCCAUUCAUGCAUUGGGGUUGAACCUGGCGCUGCGCUGACCUGGAAAGCGAAGCUCUUUAAAAUUCAAACGUGCACCCGUGGCGGAUUUCAGCGGUGCUACGGAGAACGCAGCCCUCCUCCUGCACAGCUCCUGCAGCACUUUGGUUGGGAUGCUGAGCUGCAGCCCUGAGGUUUGGGGCUCAGAGGCUCGCUGCAGUCACUGGGGCUCGUGCAAAUUGGUCUUCAGAGGGAAAGAGCUCCGCCACCGCAUGCACAAACACUCCUCAGCAACCGACUAAAGAGCUCCACCGGCCACCUGGGUUAACACAGUGGCUGGAUUUUGCAGAUUUGGAGAUAAAAGGCUGCGAUGGUUAACUCGCAUCCUGCAGCCCUUGUAAGGCAGCCAUUCUGCACGAGGCUUCCCUCCUGCAAUGCUUUAAGGAUGGAGCAUUUUAAUUGAUUAGCUCCAUUACGGAGGAGCAGAAUAGCAGCGGUGCAGUUGAACUUUGG
Molecule: long non-coding RNA, 1718 nt
Organism: Gallus gallus (chicken)
Lineage: Eukaryota; Metazoa; Chordata; Aves; Galliformes; Phasianidae
Source: Ensembl